AUACGGAGGGUGCAAGCGUUAAUCGGAAUUACUGGGCGUAAAGCGCUCGUAGGCGGCUUGUUAAGUCGGAUGUGAAAGCCCCGGGCUCAACCUGGGAACUGCAUUCGAUACUGGCAGGCUAGAGUAUAGUAGAGGCAAGUGGAAUUCCGGGUGUAGCAGUGAAAUGCGUAGAUAUCCGGAGGAACAUCAGUGGCGAAGGCGACUUGCUGGACUAAUACUGACGCUGAGGAGCGAAAGCGUGGGGAGCAAACGGGAUUAGAAACCCCGGUAGUCC
This 274-nucleotide ribosomal RNA is filed under the name uncultured bacterium. RNAcentral's name for it is "partial 16S ribosomal RNA". It matches the Rfam family "Bacterial small subunit ribosomal RNA", at positions 523 to 796 of the family's 1533-position model. The record is from RNAcentral.